This is a long non-coding RNA of Sapajus apella (tufted capuchin), 230 nucleotides long. RefSeq lists it as uncharacterized. Lineage: Eukaryota; Metazoa; Chordata; Mammalia; Primates; Cebidae. The transcript is spliced from 2 exons. The record is from RefSeq and is a predicted model, not a curated record.
AUUUGAAGUUCAUUAACUUUUGCCUAGCAAACUUCACAAUUAAUAAUUUGAUCAGGAAGAACUUGCUGAGCCUCUAUAUUAUGUUCAAGAUGUUGUAUUAAGUACUGUGAGAAUACAAUACUUCCUAGACAUGCACUCAGCUCUAGGAAGAGUUUCUAGUAUAGAAUAUAGUUUUGUUUUUUUUUAAAGUACACACAUAAUUAUAGUACAAUGUAGAAAAUAACAAGGGU